RNAcentral lists this ribosomal RNA (253 nucleotides) under uncultured bacterium. RNAcentral describes it as "partial 16S ribosomal RNA". It matches the Rfam family "Bacterial small subunit ribosomal RNA", at positions 524 to 776 of the family's 1533-position model. The record is from RNAcentral.
GACAGAGGGUGCAAACGUUGUUCGGAAUUACUGGGCGUAAAGCGUGUGUAGGCGGCCAUAUAAGUCGGAUGUGAAAGCCCUGGGCUCAACCCAGGAAGUGCACUCGAUACUGUACGGCUUGAGUACUGGAGAGGUUGGUGGAAUUCUCGGUGUAGAGGUGAAAUUCGUAGAUAUCGAGAGGAACACCGGUGGCGAAGGCGGCCAACUGGACAGAUACUGACGCUGAGGCACGAAAGCGUGGGGAGCAAACAGG